GUGCCAGCAGCCGCGGUAAUACAGAGACCUCAAGCGUUAUCCGGAAUCAUUGGGCGUAAAGCGUACCGAUAGGUGGUUGAAAUAGUCUUGGGUAAAAGCCAGAAGCUCAACUUCUGAGUUUGCUUAAGAUACUUUUCGACUAGAGGGGCAAAGAGGUGCUUGGAACGAAUGGUGUAGUAGUGAAAUGCGUUGAUAUCAUUCGGAACACCGAAAGCGAAGGCAGAGCACUGGGUGCCACCUGACACUGCUAGGACGAAAGCGUGGGUAGCGAAUGGGAUUAGAUACCCCAGUAGUCC
This 296-nucleotide ribosomal RNA is filed under the name uncultured bacterium. RNAcentral describes it as "partial 16S ribosomal RNA". It matches the Rfam family "Bacterial small subunit ribosomal RNA", at positions 505 to 796 of the family's 1533-position model. The record is from RNAcentral.